CAGCAGCCGCGGUAAUACGAAGGGGGCUAGCGUUGCUCGGAAUGACUGGGCGUAAAGGGCGCGUAGGCGGAUUGUUUAGUUAGGCGUGAAAUUCCUGGGCUUAACCUGGGGACUGCGCUUAAUACAGGCAGUCUAGAGUGAGGAAGAGGGUUGUGGAAUUCCCAGUGUAGAGGUGAAAUUCGUAGAUAUUGGGAAGAACACCGGUGGCGAAGGCGGCGACCUGGUCCUUUACUGACGCUGAGGCGCGAAAGUGUGGGGAGCAAACAGGAUUAGAUACCCGCGUAGUCCCUGUCUCUUAUAA
This 301-nucleotide ribosomal RNA is filed under the name uncultured bacterium. Its description in RNAcentral is "partial 16S ribosomal RNA". It matches the Rfam family "Bacterial small subunit ribosomal RNA", at positions 509 to 809 of the family's 1533-position model. The record is from RNAcentral.